AGAAUCGUCCUCGCCGGACACU
Molecule: non-coding RNA, 22 nt
Filed under: Arabidopsis thaliana (thale cress)
Lineage: Eukaryota; Viridiplantae; Streptophyta; Magnoliopsida; Brassicales; Brassicaceae
Source: RNAcentral